GUGGGGGUGCAAGCGUUAAUCGGAAUUACUGGGCGUAAAGCGUGCGCAGGCGGUUUUGUAAGACAGUGGUGAAUUCCCCCGGGGGCUCAACCUGGGAACUGCCAUUGUGACUGCAAGGCUGGAGUGCGGCAGAGGGGGAUGGAAUUCCGCGUGUAGCAGUGAAAUGCGUAGAUAUGCGGAGGAACACCGAUGGCGAAGGCAAUCCCCUGGGCCUGCACUGACGCUCAUGCACGAAAGCGUGGGGAGCAAACAGGAUUAGAUACCCUGGUAGUCCACGCCCUAAACGAUGUCAACUGGUUGUUGGGAAUUUAUUUUCUCAGUAACGAAGCUAACGCGUGAAGUUGACCGCCUGGGGAGUACGGCCGCAAGGUUA
Molecule: ribosomal RNA, 373 nt
Filed under: uncultured organism
Description: partial 16S ribosomal RNA
Rfam family: Bacterial small subunit ribosomal RNA
Source: RNAcentral